UACGUAGGGGGCAAGCGUUGUCCGGAUUUAUUGGGCGUAAAGAGCGUGUAGGCGGCCAGACAGGUCCGUUGUGAAAACUCGAGGCUCAACCUCGAGACGCCGAUGGAAACCGUCUGGCUAGAGUCCGGAAGAGGAGAGUGGAAUUCCUGGUGUAGCGGUGAAAUGCGCAGAUAUCAGGAAGAACACCCGUGGCUAAGGCGGCUCUCUAGUACGGUACUGACGCUGAGGCGCGAAAGCCAGGGGAGCAAACGGG
This 253-nucleotide ribosomal RNA is filed under the name uncultured bacterium. Its description in RNAcentral is "partial 16S ribosomal RNA". It matches the Rfam family "Bacterial small subunit ribosomal RNA", at positions 524 to 776 of the family's 1533-position model. The record is from RNAcentral.